This 402-nucleotide ribosomal RNA is filed under the name uncultured Aeromonas sp. RNAcentral describes it as "bacterial SSU rRNA". It matches the Rfam family "Bacterial small subunit ribosomal RNA", at positions 1 to 404 of the family's 1533-position model. Lineage: Bacteria; Pseudomonadati; Pseudomonadota; Gammaproteobacteria; Aeromonadales; Aeromonadaceae. The record is from RNAcentral.
CAUGAGUUUGAUCCUGGCUCAGAUUGAACGCUGGCGGCAGGCCUAACACAUGCAAGUCGAGCGGCAGCGGGAAAGUAGCUUGCUACUUUUGCCGGCGAGCGGCGGACGGGUGAGUAAUGCCUGGGGAUCUGCCCAGUCGAGGGGGAUAACUACUGGAAACGGUAGCUAAUACCGCAUACGCCCUACGGGGGAAAGCAGGGGACCUUCGGGCCUUGCGCGAUUGGAUGAACCCAGGUGGGAUUAGCUAGUAGGUGGGGUAACGGCUCACCAAGGCGACGAUCCCUAGCUGGUCUGAGAGGAUGAUCAGCCACACUGGAACUGAGACACGGUCAGACUCCUACGGGAGCAGCAGUGGGGAAUAUGCACAAGUGGGGGAAACCCUGAUGCAGCCAUGCCGCGUGU